Molecule: transfer RNA, 73 nt
Filed under: Stegodyphus mimosarum
Lineage: Eukaryota; Metazoa; Arthropoda; Arachnida; Araneae; Eresidae
Rfam family: tRNA
About the family: Transfer RNA (tRNA) molecules are approximately 80 nucleotides in length. Their secondary structure includes four short double-helical elements and three loops (D, anti-codon, and T loops).
Source: Rfam by way of RNAcentral
GCCUUCGUGGUGUAGUGGUCAGGAAGCUCGACGCAUAACCGAGAGGUCCGUGGUUCGAUUCCCGACGAAGGCG